Molecule: ribosomal RNA, 497 nt
Filed under: uncultured bacterium
Lineage: Bacteria
Description: partial 16S ribosomal RNA
Rfam family: Bacterial small subunit ribosomal RNA
Source: RNAcentral
GAUGAACGCUGGCGGCGUGCCUAAUACAUGCAAGUCGAGCGAACGGACGAGAAGCUUGCUUCUCUGAUGUUAGCGGCGGACGGGGGUGUAACACGUGGAUAACCUACCUAUAAUACUGGGAUAACUUCGGGAAACCGGAGCUAAUACCGGGUAAUAUUUUGAACCGCAUGGUUCAAAAGUGAAAGACGGUCUUGCUGUUACUUAUAGCUGGAUCCGCGCUGCAUUAGCUAGUUGGUAAGGUAACGGCUUACCAAGGCAACGAUGCAUAGCCGACCUGAGAGGGUGAUCGGCCACACUGGAACGGAAACACGAUCCAGACCCCUACGGGAGGCAGCAGUAGGGUAUCUUCCGCAAUUGGCGAAAGCCUGACGGAGCAACGCCGAGUGAGGGAUGAAGGUCUUCGGAUCUUAAAACUCUGUUAUUAGGGAAGAACAUAUGUGUAAGUAACUGUGCACAUCUUGACGGUACCUAAUCAGAAAGCCACGGCUAACUACGUG